Non-coding RNA from Petromyzon marinus (sea lamprey), 8872 nucleotides. The record is from RefSeq and is a predicted model, not a curated record. Lineage: Eukaryota; Metazoa; Chordata; Hyperoartia; Petromyzontiformes; Petromyzontidae.
AUUGACACGCGACCGGAAGUGGCGGCGUGACGAGGUCGGGGCUAUAAAAGGCGGAGCGCGCCGCGUCACAGCUCACAGUCGACGGCGGCGCUGGUGAAGACAUUGAAGAUUUUUAGAACGUCAAAACAGCGCUCCUGGUGUCUCGACUUGCAAGGCGCCCCCCUCCCCCACACAUCCCCCCCUCCCCCUCGAUGCCAGCAAGCGUUGGAUAAGGGUGACGUACCUUCGGUUUCUUUGUCCGCCAAAGCGUAACGCCGAAAUUUUUUUUUUUAAAAAACCUUUGCUCAAGUCGCUUCUCCCUCCCUUCCCCCCACACACGUGUCUUUGUUUAGACUUUAGACGAUGUGGCAUUUUACUGGUAGGAACUAAGUUGUUAACUGAUUGUACCAGCCUGCAAUAAGAUGAAUGUGUCCGUCCGUCCCCUUUCAAUGCUUUAACGAAGUUGAAAUCUCGUGCUUGUUGGGGUGUAAAAUCAGCAAAUGGGCGGCACAGAGAGACUUGAACGUGUCUUACUGGCACCCAACAUUUGGAAUGUCACGUAACCAGGAAUGCGUGCCAAUGUCGUGAAGUUGCGCAAAAUUCCCCAAUGUUCCUAUACCAGCCCCCCCCACCCUGGAGGGGGGGGGGCCCUGUUUUUCGCUGCGACGUGCGGUCAUCGGCUGAAUCGGUUUCGGACCCCCCCCCGCCGCCGCCGUGCUUUGUGUAGCGAGGCGGCGGCGUUGAGGGUCCUCGUGGUGUUGCGCUCCAAGCGAAAUGUACAAAAACGGGUGGUGGGUUGGGGGGGUUAAACGUGCGUUCUCGGUUAUUCGGUUUUAAGUUUUGUGUUAUCCCAACCAAAGCACUUUUUUCCCGUGUGGCCCACGUCCGGUGAUGGUGGUGGUGGUGUUGUUGGUUUGCCGGUGUUUGUGACUGUGGUGGGUUUGGGGGGAGGUGGGGGUUGGCUUUUAGGGCAACCGGAUUUUUUUUAAAGUAAAAAAAAUACUUUUACGGAAGCUCUCCCAACUCGGUUUUUGUGACCCCCCCCCCCCAGGUCAGUCGUGUUUGUUUCUCUGGGAGGGAGUUGGGUUGUGCCUGGCGGGAGAGACUGGGAGCCCUUGUGCGUUUGAGUCGCAGGUCUGUGUAUGUGUACGGUUCAAGACGGGGGGCUGUGUAGGUUCGUGUAACGUAACAGGUUACACUGGUAGGAACUAAGUUGUAAACUGAGUGUACCAGCCUGCAAUAAGAUUAAUGUGUCCGUCCCCUUUCAAUACUUUAACGAAGUUGAAAUCUCGUGCUUGUUGGGGUGUAAAAUCAGCAAUGGACGGCGCAGAGAGACCAGGAAUGCGUGACAAUGUGAAAUUGCGCAAAAAAUCCCCAAUGUUCCUAUACCAGCCCCCACCCUGCAGGGGGGGCUGUUUAACUCGCCCUUUCUCCUCCCCGCAAAACCCUCCCAACACGACCGCUUUUACGACCCGAUGAACUCAACCCAUGAAGGAAAUGUGGACGAGUUUUUUUAUUUUGUUGUUGUGUCAAGCAUCGUGAAAUAAAAACCCCCGUCGUGUUUUUCUCCCCAAACCCCCCCCCCCCAACCCACCCCAUGAAACAACAGCGAAGAGGAAAUAAAGCGAGGAAUGCUGCGAGAUGCCAAAACCAAAAGUUGUGCUCUGUUUUUCUGCUCAACCUCCCCCAAGAUCAUGUCGUCUUGUGUGGGUUGGGCGAGUUGUGGGGUUGGUGUGGGGUGGUGGUGGAAGCAAAGUGCGAGCGAGGCGGGGAGAGAAAGAAAACCCCCUCCCUUGGAAAGUUGCAGCCUGGAAUAACCCGUCGAAAGGUUGCGUUCACUGCUCCUGGAACAUUUGAAAAACGGACGAAUUUGUGCAGAGAUUUUGUUUUUAAAUUGCCGGGAUGAAAAGUUCUGUUCGCUGCUCCUGGAACAUUUGAAAAACGGACGAAUUUGCAGAGAUUUUUUUUUUUAAUCCGCCGGGAUGAAAAGUCUCCACGAAAAACUCAUUACGGGGUCGUCAUCGCGGCCGCUUCACGUCGGUUUGGCAACGUCAAAAAAAAACCCCUGGCAAAUGCGCAUUUGUGUGGCGUCUGGAAGGUUUCGGAAAAUUAACGAUUGGACAAAUCGACGCUCGACAAAUUGUAGAGGAAUUUGAAGUAAAUUUUCCCAAACUUAAACGUGCUUCCGCAAGCGCUUCUCGAAGGGGGGUGGCUCCCCCCCCCCCCCACUUCUGGAAAGAUUUAACGAUUGACUUUUUUUUUUACGAACGUGGAAAUUGCGUUGGAUUUCUGAAGCGAUUCGUUAAAAUGCAACCGCUUAAGAGACUUGGGGCAAGGCUCGGGAAGACCCACCCCCCUCCACUGCCAUUCUGACGAGGCAUGCAGCAGCUUGCUUGCAUUGCGCUCUUUGGUGUGCUUAUUAGGGGGGGUGGGGAGCAUUGUGAAGCGACAACUCUUUAUCGGCCUGGUGUUCUGCGCAGAUUGCUCCGAGGGGAGAGAAAGGGGGGGGGGGCGGCACAUCGUCCGGGAGACGCGAAGCGGAUGCGCCGGGGCGGGCUGGCUCGCUCGCUCGCACAAGGCUCCCCUUGCUGCCGCGAAAUCUGUCGUCGGGUCACAAACGUCGCGCUCGGCCAUGGCAACGCGCCCACCGCCUCCGCCCGCAACGCCGCUAUACUGUCCACCGCUCCUCCACCGCCCGGCCACGGUCCACCGCCCUCUGCAACUGCCGCUACUGGGCCACGGGAAGUUCGCGCAGCUGCUCCCGUCUGCCCUUGCCAACCCUCCCCCCCCCCUCCCUCUUCCUCCGUUGUGCGUUUUGUAGCCGCUUCCGUGGGUUGGCGGCGUUGUUGUACCGAGCUCCCACCGACCCAGCCAAUCCUGUGGGUGGCGCAGGCUGUGCGGUAAACCUCUCGUCACCACUCCCGCACGCAAUUUUUUUUUUACCCCACGUGGUUGGGGGGGGGGGGUUGUCCUUAACCAAACGUCUUCCAGAAGUUUCUCCCCCCCCCCCUUCCUUAGCAGAGCUUGCGUCUCCAUAGCCCAGGCGGUGAGGCGUCUCGUGCCUCAUGUUCUAGGUAAACCAAUGGAUUCCCACGCACCCGCUCCACUACCUGUGGCACAUACGAAUCUGUACGUUGCUGUGGCUUGCCAGAAAUCUUGAGGGGGGGGUGGGUGGUGGGGGGGGGUGUGGGCCUUUCACGUUCUCUGUUACAGAAUCUAGUCGAACAUCCGCCCCUACCCUGUACAACAACCCCCAGCCCUGGAGAACGGGGAGAAGAGACCACGCACACCAAGCCCCAUUACACCGCCAAUAACCAGGGAGUGCCCUUUUGACUCCUCACACACCGCACGCGUUAUUUCUCAAUGGGUCACGAGUUGGCUCGCCAGCCAGGUGUGAACAUGGAGCUGUGUUUAUCAUUGUCAAGGCUGAGCGGAUGGAUGGUGGUGAUGGGUGGAAUGGGGGAAAAACGCAACCCCCCCUACUGCUGUACGGACGGGCAGCCCAGCCGCGGAAGGAGGGGCCGGAAUCUUUGCCGCCACCAGGGAGUGUCCUUGAAACUCUUCAUGCUGCACAGCCACACGGCAACAUUUUAUAAUGAUUCAUCAAAUGGCGGAUUGGCCUUGGCUUCUCCAGUCACGUGUGAACGCUGAGGUUGUGUUUUUAUAGUUGUCAAGGCUGAGCAGCACAUGGUAGUGGGGAAUGGGAAACAACUCGACCCACAGAGCAAGGAGCCGCACUGCUGUACAACACCAGCCUCGAGAAGCUGUACGGACCAUUACCAGCCACCAGGGAGUGUCAGACUUUUCCACACGCCAACAUUCUGUAACAAAGCUUUCUGAACAGACAAGUUGGAUGAAUCUAAAAUUACAUCUUUAAUCUGCUGCUUGUUAAUCCAUAUGACAAGAAUGGCAAUGAGCCGUGCUCUGUAGCCACGCGUGAGCAUCCACGGAGGGGUUGUGUUUUAUUAUUUUCAAGGCUCAGUGGCUGAAGGUGAUGCGGAAUGAAACGCUGGCAUCCGUUCCCGUCACCCCCAACUUUGAGAAAGAAGUGUCUGGGCGAGUUCUCAACCCAGGUAACCGUGCGAGUCUCCAGCCCGAUCCUUGGCCUUGCUCACCAAACGAGCGAUGUGGAUGUCUAUUUGAGGAUUGUUUGACGUUUUGGUUUUCGUAAUUGGCCACGCUGGGGAAAGUUGUCGGCAAGACUGUUAAAGUUUUUUUUUAACGCGGCAUAAUCUGAAACCUCAACAGUAAAACACAGCGUGAAGUUUAUGUAAUGUGACCUGAAGAUUGAAAUUAAUGUUUUCUUACGGCUGUCCCGAAAUAGUUGCGUAACCAGGAAAGGGCGUUGAUGGUGACAUUGCUAGCAAGUGGUGUGCAGUGUUGGCCUUUGGGGUGGUGGGGGGGGGCUCCUAACGUUCUGUUACAGGACCCCAGCAGUUGUGCCUAGCGCAGACGUCUUGGUUCAACUCCACGCAACUUCCUCGGUGCAACGCCACACGGUCUCAGUUGCAACUCCUCACAACCUCGCUGCAACUCCACACAAACUCGGUCAAACUCAACGUAACCUCAGAACACCUUCACGCAACCUUGCUCCAACUCCUCGCAACUUCAGUGCAACUCCACACGGCGUCAGUUACAACUCCACACAACCUCAGUGCAACUCCUCCACACAACCUCGCUGCAACUCCACGUUACCUCGGUGCAACUCUACGUAACCUCAGAACACCUUCACGCAACCUUGCUCCAACUCCUCACAACUUCAGUGCAACUCCACGUUCUCUGUGCACCUCCCAAGCAACCUUGCGACAUCGUGCAAGAGGGAAGGAAGCGCAAAUUGCUCUAUCAUCGGCCAUUCCAGGCAGUUAACGGGACCCGGUAACACCGUAAAUACUUUGACUUCCCACAUUUGCCUUGCUGCUAAUACUACUACAGGCCUUGUGUUUGUAUCGGGGGGAGUGGGGGGGGUCUCUAACGUUCUGUCUUCCAGAACCCUCUCCCUGGUCUACUCUCGCUCAAACAUCAAACAGCUCGGUACAGCUCCAAACAAAGGAAGCCCCAACGGGGCAGAGAUCCCAGGCAGUGACGGGACGGAGCCAAGUCUGCAGCCUCCUACCGCUGUUACAACCCAGUCCUUGACAGGAGAGGCCAGAGACGACCAACAGCGUCCAUCAGGGAGUGUCAAUAUCUCUCGCUACCCAGAGCAGCAGCAUUCUUUAUUAUCAAUGGCAAUGAGCCGUGCUCUGUAGCCACGCGUGAGCAUCACGGAGGUUGUGUUUUAUUAUUGUCAAGGCUGAGCGGGUGGUGGUGGUGAUGGGGAAUUGGACACGCUGGCAUCCGUUCCCGCCACCCCCAACUUUGAGAUGUCUGGGCGAGUUCUCAACCCAGGUAACCGUGCAAGUCUCCGGCCCGAUCCUCGGCCUUGCUCACCAAUCGAGCGAUUAGUUUUCGUAAUUGGCCACACGGGGAAAAGUUGUCAGGAGGACUUUGAAAGUUUUUAACGAGUCAAUACUUGAAGCCUAAUUAUAGAAUAACCACAGCAUGAAGUUUACGUAAUGUGACCUGACGUUUGAAAUCCAUGUUUUCUUAGGGCUAUCCUGAAUAUUUCCCUAAGCCAGGAAAGGGCGUUGAUGGUGACAUUCCUAGCAAGCGGUGUGAAGUGUUGGCCAUUGUGGCUCUGGGGUGGUGGGUGGGGGGAGGGGCUCCUAACGUUCUAUGUUACAGGACCCCAGCAGUUGUGCCUAGCACAGACGUCUCUGUUCAACUCUACGCAACUCCCUCAGUUGCAACUCCUCCACACAACCUCGCUGCAACUCCACGUUACCUCGGUGCAACUCUACUUAACUUCAGAACACCUUCACGCAACCUUUCUCCAACUCCUCGCAACUUCAGUGCAACUCCACACGUUCUCUGUGCAACUCCCAAACAACCUCGCGACAUCGUACAAGGGGACAGCAAGAGGGAAGGAAUCGCAAAUUGCUCCUCUAUCAUCGGCCAUUCCAGGCAGUUAACGGGACCCGGUAACACCGUUAAAUACUUUGAUAUUCACAUUUGCCUUGCUACUACUUCGACUACAGGCCUUGUGUUUGUAUCAGGGGGAGUGGGGGGGUCUCUAACGUUCUGUCUUCCAGAAUCCUCUCCCUGGUCUACUCUCGCUCAAACAUCAAACAAUUCCUUACUGGAACUCCACACAGCCUCGGUGCUACUCAACGCAACCUUGAUGCAACUCCAACACCGUCCAUCAGGGAGUGUCAAUGUCUCUUGCUACCCACAGCAACAUUACUAUGCAAUGGUCAUGAGCAGUGCCUCAAGGUAGCCACGAGUGUGAACACGGAGGUUGUGUUUAUCAUUGUCAAGGCUGAGCGGACGAUGGUGGCGAUGGGCGGAAUGGGAGAAACGCAACCCCCUACCGCUGUUACAACCCAGUCCUGGACAGGAGAGGCCAGAGACGACCAACAGCGUCCAUCAGGAAGUGUCAAUGUGUGUCUCGCUACCCACAGCAGCAGCAUUCUUCAUUAUCUAUGGCAAUGAGCCGUGCUCUGUAGCCACGCGUGAGCAUCAUGGAGAUUGUGUUUUAUUAUUGUCAAGGCUGAGCGGGUGGUGGUGGUGGUGGUGGUGGGGAAUCGGACACGCUGGCAUCCGUUCCUGCCACCCCCAACUUUGAGAAAGAUGUCUGGGCGAUUUCUCAACCCAGGUAACCGUACGAGUCUCCGGCCCGAUCCUCGGCCUUACUCGCCAAACCAGCAAUUAGUUUUCGUAAUUGGAAACGCGGGGAAAUGUUGUCGGCAGGACUUUGAAAGUUUUAAUCGAGGCAAAACUUGAAACGUUUAUUUGCAAAUGACCACAGCAUGAAGUUUACUUAAUGUGACCUGAAGAUUGAAAUCAAUGUUUUCUUACGGCUAUCCUGAAUAUUUCCCUGAGCCAGGAAAGGGCUUUGAUGGUGACAUUGCUAGCGAGCGGUGUUCAGUGUUGGCCAUUGUGGCUCUGGGGUGGUGGGUGGGGGCAGGGGCUCCUAACGUUCUGUUACAGGACCCCAGCAGUUGUGCCUAGCGCAGACGUCUCUGUUCAACUCCGCAACUUCCUCGGUGCAACGCCACACGGUCUCUGCAACUCCACACGGCCUCAGUUACAACUCCACACAACCUCGCUGCAACUACUCCACACAACCUCGGUGCAACUCCACGUAACCUCGGAACAAUUUCAUUCAACCUUGCUCCAACCCCUCGCAGCUCCAGUGCCAUCCGUUGCUUUCAAGUUUGGGACUGGGACUUGGGGGAGGGUGGGGGGGGGUCUCUAAUUCGCUGUCUUCUAGAAUUCCCAUCCAGCGUCUCUUGACUCAGAACAUUCCCGCCAGAGCUCCUCCAAGCAACAGUCUCUCACAUGGUCACAGCCAAGUCCUGGACAGGGGAGGCUUGAGAAAACCAACACCGUCAGGGAGUGUCAAUGUCUCUUGCUACCCACAGCAGCAACAUUAUUACUGUGAAAUGGUCAUGAGCAGUGCUGCUAGGUAGCCACAAGUGUGAACACGGAGGUUGUGUUUUUCAUUGUCAAGGCUGAGCGGGUGAUGGUGAUGGGGAAUCGGACACGCUGGCAUCCGUUCCUGCCACCCCCAACUUUGAGAAAGAUGUCUGGGCGAGUUCUCAACCCAGGUAACCGUGCGAGUCUCCGGCCCGAUCCUCGGCCUUGCUCACCAAACGAGCGAUUAGUUUUCGUAAUUGGAAACGCGGGGAAAAGUUGUCAGGAGGACUUUGUGAAAGUUUUAAUCGAGGCAAAACUUGAAACCUUUAUUUGCAAAUAACCACAGCAUGAAGUUUACGUAAUGUGACCUGAAGCUUGAAAUCAAUGUUUUCUUACGGCUAUUCUGAAUAUUUCCCUAAGCCAGGAAAGGGCGUUGAUGGUGACAUUGCUAGCGAGCGGUGUGCAGUGUUGGCCAUUGUGGCUCUGGGGUGGUGGGUGGGGGGAGGGGCUCCUAACGUUCUAUGUUACAGGACCCCAGCAGUUGUGCCUAGCGCAGACGUCUUUGUUCAACUCCACGCAACUUCCUCAGUUGCAACUCACACGGCCUCAGUGCAACUCUUCCAUACAAUCUCGCUGCAACUCCUCCACACAACUCCGUGCAACUCCACGUAACCUCAGAACAAUUUCAUUCAACCUUGCUCCAACUCCUCGCAACUUCAGUGCAACUCCACACGUUCUCUGUGCAACUCCCAAGCAACCUCGCGACAUCGUACAAGGGGACAGCAAGAGGGAAGGAAGCGCAAAUUGCUCCUCUAUCAUCGGUCAUUCCAGGCAGUUAACGGGACCCGGUAACACCGUAAAUACUUUGACAUUCACAUUUGCCUUACUGCUACUGCUACUACUGGCCUUGUGUUUGUAUCAGGGGGAGUGGGGGGGGGUCUCUAACCUUCUGUCUUCCAGAAUCCUCUCCCUGGUCUACUCUCGCUCAAACAUCAAACAUCUCGGUACAGCUCCAAACCAAGGAAGCCCCAACGGGGCAGAGAUCCCAGACAGUGACGGGACAGGGAGCCAGGUCUGCGUCUCGAUGUCUCGGUUCAAGUGCAGAGGAAGGAAGUGCAAACGGUCGAAUCGGUGGUGGAUACGGGCAGUUAGCGGACUUCCUGGUAGCACCGCAACUCCUUUGGCCGUGCGUUUGAAUUUGCAUCGCUGCUACUACUACAGGAUUUGUUUGUAUCGGGGUGGGGGGAGGGGCUCCUAACGUUGUGUUACAGGACCCCAGCAGUUGUGCCUAGCGCAGACGUCUCUGUUCAACUUCACGCAACUUCUUACUGGAACUCCACACAGCCUCGGUGCCACUCAACGCAACCUUGAUGCAACUCCAACACCGUCCAUCAGGGAGUGUCAAUGUCUCUUGCUACCCACAGCAACAACAUUAUUA